This 7682-nucleotide long non-coding RNA is filed under the name Gossypium barbadense (sea-island cotton). Its description in RNAcentral is "long non-coding RNA (GBAR_LNC019198)". The record is from RNAcentral. Lineage: Eukaryota; Viridiplantae; Streptophyta; Magnoliopsida; Malvales; Malvaceae.
UCAAACCUUUGAACUUUCUGAAAAAGCAACCUUUCUGCUUUCAACCCCAUUUCCGCCACUUGAACCACCAUGCCGACAUCCUCUCCGGUCGAAAACAGGACCACCGUUCAAGCUUUGUCCUCUAGCACUUCAACCCACAGCGGAUAAAUGAAAUGAGAAUGGUUUUUGUUUUUUUACAGUGACAUCAACGUACAUGUAUAUCCAUGUAAAGAAAAUGGAGACUGGCAAAAAAUCAAACAACAUCCUUGAGCCUCUGAAACAACAAGUCGUCGCCAUUGCUUGAGACCUUUCAGGUAAUUAUUAUUUUUUUAAUUCCGAUGUUAAUUUUUGAGUUACUUAUUGGGAAGUGCUGAUAAUUUUUUUUUGCCUAUUUUUAAUUAUCUAAUAACUUAAAGUUCCAUUGAUUUGUUAACCUAAAUUUUCUUUAUCUUGAACUUUUAAUUGAUUAGAAUAGGUAACUUUUUUUGUUUUUAAUUUAUUUUCACCUCAGAAAUUUACUAUAUUUUGAUGCAGUGUCGAACAAUAAAUCAAUAAUUCUUUUGGCUGAAGUAAAAUCUGUACAAAAUUUAACCAUUUUUAUUGAUGCGAUGGGCUGGAAAAGAGAGGAUUUUCUUACAAAGUGAAAGGGCUUGGAAGGUUCUUUUUCUAAGAUUUUAUGAAAUUUUAAUUUUUUUACAUAAUUACUCAUUAUAUAUUUUGAUCACUAUUUUUAGUUUCUUUUCAAUCUAUAAAUAAGAGGACAAUGGACUUCAAUAUACUCAAACUCACAUCAUCCUGCAUUGACAACAAUAGUCACACCAAUUAAGUUAAAACUUAAGACCAAUUUAACAUUGAUGAAAGUAUUGUUAAACAAAAUACUUUUAAGCUUUUCAAAAGUACUUUUGGGAUAAAAUUAGCCCAAAAACACUUUCAAGAAGUAAGAUUGAGCUAAACCUCAAUCAACAUACAUAAUUAUAGUUUUAAAAAUAUUUUUAAUAAUUUAAAAAAAUUAAAAUAGCAAAAUUUCUGAAAUUUUUAAAGAACUUUUUGAUAUUUCAAUAUUUUUAUAAUUUUUGAAUUUUAACCUAACUCAAUUUUUUUUAAUUUUUUAAGACUACGAUUUUAUUAAUUUUCACAUAAUUAUAAUUUUAAAUUUUUAUAGAAAUUUUUUUAUUUUUAAAGAAUUUUUUUGCUAAUCAUUUUUUUGCUUGCAUUAAAAUAAAAUAUAAUCAUCAAAUUAUAUUAUUUAACAUAAUUAAUAAUUAAUAAUUUUAUAUUUGUAUAUAAACAACCAGUACCAAAGUUAUCAGCACUGUAUCGAUUGUUAUACCAAUUUUAAUAGGUACUGCUAUAUACAAAUAUUUGUUUUUAGAUUUAUUAGUGUUUUUAAUUUUUUUCCUAUACUUAUAGCCUAAUUUUUAGUUUUUUUUAAACAAAAUAUACAUUAAAUACAAGCAAAUAUAUCUCAUUUACAUAUCUAAAAAAAUGUUUAUAUAAAAACAUAAAAUUUAAAAUUAUUAAGUAAGUUAAAUAAUUUAAUUUUAAUGAUUAUAUUUUAUUCUUAAUGUAACUAGAAAAUAAAAAUAAUUAAGAGAAAUAUAGAAAUCUUGUACUAGUUGUUCAUAUACGAAAUUUUUAUAUUUUUAAACUAAUUUUUAAUAUUUUCAAUUUUUGUAACUUCAAUAAAAAAUAAAUAUAAUCAUUAAAUUAAGUUAUUUAACUCAAUUAUUAAUUAUUAAUUUUAUGUUUGUAUAUAAAUAUAUUUUACAUAUGUAAUUGAGAUCCAUUGCAUUUAUAUUAAUAUAUAUUUUAGAAUAAAAGAUCAUUCCUAUUUAAUUACUCAAAAAUCUAUUUUUAAUUUAUCGUUAAUCAAAUUGUUCACUUCACCCCUUUUUCUAAAUUUUUUUAAAAAUGUGUAUAUAUAUUCUCCCCUACUGAUUUAGUUUUUCCUGAAAUGAACUGAAAAAUCUCAAAAUCAUAAGCCAAUGUUCAAAGUUUUCUUAGUCCAAUCUCGGUGGUUGACUAUCCAACCGUAUUGAGAAAUCAAUCGUAACACCAUUCAAGGAAACUCCUCACCGUUGGGAUCUUACAGUACAUGCUCUGAGUUUCAAGAAUCAAGGAAAACCCUAAACCUAUUUACCCUCUCUCUCUCUCUCUUUUGUUUUUCGUUUUUUCUUCUUCGAUUUUCUAAUUUUCUCCUUAUUUUACAAGUUGUGCUAAAAUCCAGUUGCAGGGUUUUUGGGUUCGUGAGUUGUUAUUGAUUUGAGUUUGGGGUAUUGUGGAUUUGGUUUAGGUUAGGAUUUGGCAAGGAUCGACGCAAAGAGUUCAGCAACAACUAGGUCAAGUAAGGAAGAAGAUGAGGAAAAAGAUAAGAAAGAAAAAAGUGAACGAAAAAAAAGAAAAACUAAAAAGGAAGUGGAAAAUAUGUGAAAAUGUAUGGUCACAUUUAACAACGGAGUGGUGAGUUUGACAAUAAAAAGUUUUAAAAAAAUAAAAUGGGAUACAUGAUAUUUUUUAAAAUUUCACGAGUUAAAAAUCUCCCCUAUUAACGUACUAGAUAAAUGUUUCUUUUUAAUAAAAUCCUGUGGAAGAUAAUUAUGUACUUUUUUAUUCUUAUUUCUUUCCUUUUUUUUCUUUCUUAACAAAUUUUCGUAUCAUUAAAGGUUUUAAAUAAUGGUAAUUAACUAAUUUAUUUAAAAAUAAUAUAUAUAAUUGAAUUAAAAUAAGUUUAAAAUCUUUACAUCUAAUUGAAUUAAAAUACAACUUAACUAUAAUUUAAUUUACAGUUAAUUGCACGAAACAUCUUCAAAAUAUGACCUUAGUUCUAAAUUAGUCUUCAAACUUUAAAAUAUUCUAAUUACAUCUUCAAAUUGUCGAAUUUAUAUCAAUAAGAUCCUUUCGCUACUAAAAUCAUUAAUUUAAUUGUUAAAUGAUACAUCAAAUCUUAUGCGACAUAAUUUAAAAUGAAAAAAAUUAAAACAAAAAUGAAUAUUGUACAAAUGAAUGUUGUAAAAAUCUUGAUUUUGAGGUUUUCGAAGUUUUUAUAGAAACUAUCAUCUACUCUCUAUUUUGUUCAAUUUUACUUUAUUUUUAGUUUUUAAUUUUAAAAUUUAUGCGAUAACAUUUUAUUUUUCUUUAAAAUUUUUAUUUUAAAUUAUGCCAUAUAAGAUUCUAUGUGUCAUUCAAUAGUUAAAUCAACAGUUUCAAUCAUGGAAGGUCUUAAUUGGUAUGACAUCUAUAGUUUGAGGAUGUAAUUAGAACAUUUUAAAAGCUUAGGGAUCAAUUUAGGAUGAGGGUUAUAAUUUAAGGGUGUUUGGUGCAAUUAACUCUUUAAUUUAAUAGUAACUAAAAAAUCUAAGACUUAUUAUAUUCUAAUUAUUUUGUAAUAAAAAAUUGGGCAAGAGGAAUUAAAAAUUUUAAUCACAACCAAGAGAUGGAGAUUUCAAUCGAGGAACACGACAACCUUGGUGAUCCAUCAAUUCCUAGGAUUAGUGCUAAGGCUUCUAACAAAGUUCAUUUGCAUUAUGAGGACCCAUUUGAUAAGAAAGGGAUGACCGUUGAUGCUCAAGAGGAAUAUCAGGUUUCUUUUCAUGAUAAGCUACUAAAUAUCACAACAAAUUCAAAGAGAAAGAGGAAACUUGGGAAGAUGACAACAUCGAACUUUCGGAGGGAGGUUGAAAAUUGCAUUAUUUAUGAGAUUCCUUCAAUUAAGUUCUCGCAGAGGGUUAAUCUUUUGAUGGAACAAAUCAUGUCGAAGAUAGUUUUCCUUAAACUAUUGGGUCAAAUGAUUGGGUUUAAUUUUGUAUUGAAUAAAACAUUUUCCUUAUGUUAACCAACAAAGACACUUUAGUUAAUGUAUUUGGAGAAUGAUUACUACAUGGUCACAUUCAAAUUAAAGGAAGGUUAUAUAAAGGUUCUAGCUAAGGGGCCUUAGGUAGUGUUUAGAAAGUAUUUAAUGGUACAACUAUGGACAACUUCCUUCACAGCCACCCAACUAUAUUUAGGUAAUGUUAUGGCAUGAAAUAGCCCGAUUUAUCUACGACCAUGUAUGGAAAGAGUUCCAUAAGCAUGAUUGGAGAUAUGAUACGAAAGGUGAUUAAAAUUGACUAUAAUAUGGCUAGUGGAGCAAGAGGUCGCUUUGCUCGAAUGGGUUGUUUGUAUUGACUUGAAUAAUCCUUUGGUUUUUAACCAGAUUGCAGAUAAGAUCCAAAAGAGUUGAGUAUGAAUCUCUACCAAACAUCUUGUUUCCAUUACGGUAGAUAUAGACAUAUGAAAGAGGUUUGUUUGUUCUUUUCAUCUAAUGUGAAGAACGAGGACACAAAGGAAGUGUAGCAUCUUAGAAUAGGACCUAAGAGUUUAAGGCUUGACGAGUUGGGAUUCGCCAAAAGGCCUGCAAACAAAGGUUACUAGUAGAUUUAGCGAACUAUAAUCGCUAGUGGGCUUGAUGAAAUUGCAAUCGCCAGUAGACUUGGCAAGCUAUGAUCAUUGUUUUGAGUUGAGAGUCAAAAGUAGAAGUAGUCAAAGGGUAAUUAUACCAAAAUUAAGAAGUCAACUUACUUUCCUCUUCGUAACACCAUUCAUGCACGUAACUCUUUCUUACUUCUACUGCGACUAGGGUAUCCUAAGAAUAUCAAAACACUUAGUACUUAUAAAUUAAGCCUUUUCCAUUGAAAAUUCAUAUUCUUAGAACUUAAGAAAAUAAGAACCCAAAACUUAACUCUUAGAACUUAAGGUAAGACUCUGUUUCUUUAGAACUCUUAAGAAGGUUCGCAAUAAAAGUGAUUAAGUUUGUCAAAAAACUAGCAUUUGCUAACCUAGGUACGCUUGUGUUUUUGUAUGAGUUUUCAAUGUGCUUUGACUGUUAGUGACUUGUGUGUGUUUGUGAAAUUAUGAAACUAAUAGAACUGUCUACAAGCAAAAAUAAGGAAAAAGCGAAGCUUGUUUAGAGCUUUCAGCAAAUUGGUGAGUGUUUAGGGAUCGCCACAUGUAUGUAUGAACCAUAAUGUGAACCAGGGGCUUAGGGUUUUAUCCUAAGUUCCGAGAGUAAGUCUUUUCUAUACUUUUUUGUGUGAUUAUAUGUGUUUUUAUGAACAGUGAUAUGCAAGCUCUAUAUUGCGAGCUCAAAUAAUGCUCUGCGAGCUCCUCAUGAUUUGCGAGCUCUAUGUUUUAAGUAUAUGUUUUGACACUAUAAUCUUCUGAAACCAUUGGAUAUAAUGGAUGCCAUAGGAAUGUUAAUACUCACCUUUAUGUUUUGUGAUUUGGGCGAAAGACCCUAUGACAGGUUGGAGAGAUAAGGAAAUGUCGAGCUAAGCUCCAUUCAAUGGGACAUGUUGGUGUGUUAGAGAGUGUUUAGCUUUAAGCUACAUUUAUGGGACAUGUUAGACUUUUUGAGUCAAAAUGAAGGGUAAUAAGGAGAUCCAUUUAUCCAACAGUAAAGUACACGUUAAUAAGAUUGUGUUUUCUAAAAUAUUAUGAUUUGUUAUUUUAAGCUAACUGACAGUGAAUAAUUAUGAACCAGACUUCGUGUAAGUAUGGCGAACCCAAUUCAUAGUUCAAUGACUUUUCCAAAGCUUUUGUUUAACUUAUGUUUUGUACGUGUUAUGUGGUUAUUCUUUCUUAUAAACCAUUUAGUUCGUAAGAACUUACACACUCCUUUCUAAACACUGUAGAUAGUUAAAUUACACGGUAUGAAAUAGCGAAACGAAUGAUCCAGGCAAAACAUAAACACUAGAAAGGUGAUAUAAACGAAUUCUGGAUGUAAAGGCAAUGUGGAAAUCUGCUUGGGCCUAGAGAUAUCUUUUUGUUGACUUCGACAGAGGCAUCACAAAUAAAGCUUUUUUUCUAUAUUUUCACAUGUCACAAAUAAUCAGGUAAUGGGCUCACACAUAAGGUAGUUAUUUUUACCUUGACCAUGGUCAUGCUCACACAUAAAACACUGCUUUAUUACUAACACGUUGAUUCACAACACAUUGACCGAUUUUCGAUUAAUAUAACUUACCUUACACAACUCACAAAUUAUAAAAUUUUUGUAACUCAAAUGAAGUAAAAAGGAACUUACCAGAAACUUCAGGACAUAAUCUACUUACUGGUCAUUUACCUCGAUUGCACGAACCGUCACUAGCUUCUUGAGCUAAAUAAGAAACAAUCAUAACUAUCAAACCAUUUAUUUAUUAAAAUUUGAUCAUACAUGCACUAAUGCAAAUACUUAAAUCUCCUCAUCAUCACCUUAAGGGUUUCCUAGAAAAUUACCAAUUAGCUGUUACUUAUCAAUGACAUUUUGACAAGCAUUUGGAAACCUUCAUCAUCUCUCUAACUAAGAUAACUUAAAAAUUCUUAAAGACGUAGGGAAGAACACAGAGAGAAAACAAAGGUGAGACAUACUGGUUAUAGGCACUCUUUUAUAGAACAAACAUCAAAAAUUAAGCAUAGUGAGAAGGUCAGACAUCCCAUUAUCACCCUUGAAAAUUGAGACUAAACUUGUCUAACAAAAUUUGAAGUCUAAUAUUUUACCAAACAUAACUACUACGACUAAUCAGAGUGGUAAAACAUUGCUUGUACACUUAAGCAACCAACUAAACAAGUCAUUCAGCUACCUAAACAUAUCAAGCUAUCAUCUACAAUAUUUUAGUUUAAUUUCAACUAGGUCUCAACUAAACUCUAAUGAUAUUCAUCGAACUAACCAAUUCAGCCAGAACAUCUAGGGUUGGCAGAUCAUCUCAUAAAAGAGUCCUCCAAACCCUAGAGUUCGUCAAAUAGAAAAUUUUAACAAGGUGUCCCCCUAAAAGGGCGUACUGUCAAAUUCAUGCAAUACGCCAUCUAAACAUUUAACGGAUAAUUCAUCCUUUUUCUACCCUGACUUACUCAAUUAUACGCCAACGGCAUAUCGGUAUGACCCACGCCGGGUGGGCUGUUAAAUUUUCUGAAAGAGUUUUUGAUAGAGAAUUUACCAUAAUAACCCACCUGGACAAAGAGUUUGACAUAUCCGUAAUUAUGGGUGGUGUAAAUGUCCGCCAAACUUGGGAAUUCUCACGUUAUGUAUCGAAGUCAUCUGAGACUCUAUUGUAUGAUAUAAAACAUUGUAUUCAUCAAAAUAAGUACAUUAUUUGGAUUAACUUAAAUAUAUGGUGUGAUUGGAAUAGUAGCAGUCACUAAAGUUAGUAUAAGAACCCGCCAAGAGUAGUAUAUGUAUGUAUAUCAUUAUAAUGAAUGUAUCUAACUUUUAUCUUCAAAGAGAUUGUGAAAUAGGAUCCGCAAUUAGGUGUGAAUUUUGUGAUAUGCCAAUCGAGCAGAAUAUGCAUAAAGUGUAAAGAUUGGCGUAUAGUGAUUAGCCAAGAAUUAGAAAAGUAUCCGCCAAAGUCUAAAAGGAAGUCCAAAAUCCUUUAGUCAAGGAAUUCAACAACAUUGUUUAAAGGUAAUAUUGGUUGAGACUCACUAAGUUCCGUUUAACUUACAGAUGUUUAUUUGUAAUGCAGAUUCUUGAAAUUGAACUAGUGUGCUAGGAGGGACCAAGCUAGGAAUACACUAAUGUGGCAAUUUAAAGAGCAAUAUUAACCAUAUAGAAGGGCACUCUUGAAAAUAUGACGAAUGGUACUCUACGCCAUGAUUAAGUUUUUUUUAACAAAUAUUUAAGUUGCAAUGUCUUAUACUGCUUUUGAGAACCUAUUGUAUUUAAUAACGUUUCCUUUAAAAUCUUUUGACUUGGA